CGAAGCACUUCUCAGCCCUU
This 20-nucleotide unclassified non-coding RNA is filed under the name Mus musculus (house mouse). Its description in RNAcentral is "oocyte_clustered_small_RNA11390". Lineage: Eukaryota; Metazoa; Chordata; Mammalia; Rodentia; Muridae. The record is from RNAcentral.